AAGUUAUGAAAUAAAAGUAUCAAAGUAAUGAGUAGAUUUGCGAAAAUGGUGAUCUGCUCCCACUAAAGAUUCUAUUAAAAUAUACUCCUCAGGCCGUGGUUGUAACAAGGUAUAAGAUUUACGGCUUUGCCAUUCUCUUCAAUAAAAGCAAAAAUUGCCUCUCUGACUUUGGCACUCAUCAUCGAAGAUUUAGAACCGGGAGGAUCAAUCCAAGUGACUCCCUUGUUCUUGAUAAAAUUCUCUAAAAUAGCUUACGAGACAAACC
RNAcentral lists this small nuclear RNA (265 nucleotides) under Cryptosporidium parvum. Lineage: Eukaryota; Apicomplexa; Conoidasida; Eucoccidiorida; Cryptosporidiidae. The record is from RNAcentral.